AAGAAGUUUAUAGUUACUGCCUUUCAAUAAAUUAAUAUUCGUACUCCCAUACAACAAUUAAUGUUGAGUUUCAAUUCAAGCUUUCCGUAUCCCAUAUAUGCAUUUCACCCAAAGAAUAUUCGAGAAAAGAACCUGUUUUAUAUGCAUGAUUUUUGUUUUUCUCACAAAUCAAGAACUGUUUCUAAUAGAUCCUCUAAGGAAAGGUUCAUAACCUGCAUUAGAUUACCAAUAUAACACACUCCACUGUAUAUCUACAAUAUAAAUAUUCUAAGCAAAUCUUUGAUGGUUUUAUUUCAAGAAAAAUCUUUAUCAACCCAAGAAGAU
This 324-nucleotide long non-coding RNA is filed under the name Olea europaea subsp. europaea. Lineage: Eukaryota; Viridiplantae; Streptophyta; Magnoliopsida; Lamiales; Oleaceae. The record is from RNAcentral.